Molecule: transfer RNA, 31 nt
Filed under: Urocyon cinereoargenteus (gray fox)
Lineage: Eukaryota; Metazoa; Chordata; Mammalia; Carnivora; Canidae
Also listed under: 1 other name
Description: partial tRNA-Thr
Source: RNAcentral
AAAAAUGGAGAUUAAUUACCCUCCCUAAGAC